This 434-nucleotide ribosomal RNA is filed under the name Pseudomonas sp. F37. RNAcentral's name for it is "bacterial SSU rRNA". It matches the Rfam family "Bacterial small subunit ribosomal RNA", at positions 117 to 546 of the family's 1533-position model. The record is from RNAcentral. Lineage: Bacteria; Pseudomonadati; Pseudomonadota; Gammaproteobacteria; Pseudomonadales; Pseudomonadaceae.
UUAGGAAUCUGCCUAUUAGUGGGGGACAACAUUCCGAAAGGAAUGCUAAUACCGCAUACGCCCUACGGGGGAAAGCAGGGGAUCUUCGGACCUUGCGCUAAUAGAUGAGCCUAAGUCGGAUUACCUAGUUGGUGGGGUAAAGGCCUACCAAGGCGACGAUCUGUAGCGGGUCUGAGAGGAUGAUCCGCCACACUGGGACUGAGACACGGCCCAGACUCCUACGGGAGGCAGCAGUGGGGAAUAUUGGACAAUGGGCGCAAGCCUGAUCCAGCCAUGCCGCGUGUGUGAAGAAGGCCUUUUGGUUGUAAAGCACUUUAAGCGAGGAGGAGGCUCCUUUAGUUAAUACCUAAAGUGAGUGGACGUUACUCGCAGAAUAAGCACCGGCUAACUCUGUGCCAGCAGCCGCGGUAAUACAGAGGGUGCGAGCGUUAAUC